Long non-coding RNA from Zingiber officinale, 779 nucleotides. RefSeq lists it as uncharacterized. The transcript is spliced from 3 exons. The record is from RefSeq and is a predicted model, not a curated record. Lineage: Eukaryota; Viridiplantae; Streptophyta; Magnoliopsida; Zingiberales; Zingiberaceae.
AUGCAUAUUACCCUUUUAGACAUUAAUCUAACCAUGAAAUGAUAGGAGAGAGCAAAUUUCAUGAAAGGGGAUGGUGUAAGAAGAUACAUACUUGAGUGACUAUUGAAGUUUAGAAAACAUAUCCAAUGUGUGAUAAUCACAUGAAUUUGAACAUCUCUAGUGCAACAAUCUUGUUGGUUCAAGUGAGCUAAAUUGAAAAAUUCAAAUGAUAUAAGUCACCUUAUCUAAUAUUCAUAUGUUUCAAUGUAACACUGCAAAUAUGAAUAUUUCUGUGCUUAUUUAGCUACUUAACUCAUUCUUAGAAAAAUUGUUGCUACGGUCAGUCAUUUUAAUAACUUUAAUAUUUGUGCACAAGAUUGUUUUUUUUAUUAUUUUGACUUUGAAUCAAAGAUAUCUUACUAAACUCAUUCGACAGGUGGCUAUGAUUGAGGCCUAUUUACAUCCAAACAAAAUGUUUGUUGACUAUAAGGAGGUAAGACACUAACCACUUCAUUGUGUAACUGUGUUUGUUUGAAUGUCUGAGCAGCCUCAGAAGGAAAGGGUUUAUUCAUCUUAUCUAGAAUUAAACCUUGAAGAUUGUUCAGCCCUGCAUUUCAGGUCCUAAAAGAGAUGAAAGCAGAUUGGCAUUCUUGUCUUGACAACAAAGUUAGAUUCAAGGGAUUUGCAGUGCCCAAGAAAUCACAAGAAAAAGUUGUGAAGUUUGACUUUCAUGGCCAAUCAGUCGAGCUCAAGCAUGAUAGUGUUGUGCUUGGUGUUGGACUUGUUGCCAAGAAGUCUUG